This 710-nucleotide ribosomal RNA is filed under the name bacterium C-TJ8. RNAcentral's name for it is "bacterial SSU rRNA". It matches the Rfam family "Bacterial small subunit ribosomal RNA", at positions 83 to 804 of the family's 1533-position model. The record is from RNAcentral.
CUGGGUUGAUUAGUGGCGAACGNGGUGAGUAACACGAUGAGUAACCUGCCCCUGACUCUGGGAUAAGCGUUGGAAACGACGUCUAAUACUGGAUAUGAUCGCCGGCCGCAUGGUCUGGUGGUGGAAAGAUUUUUUGGUUGGGGAUGGACUCGCGGCCUAUCAGCUUGUUGGUGAGGUAAUGGCUCACCAAGGCGACGACGGGUAGCCGGCCUGAGAGGGUGACCGGCCACACUGGGACUGAGACACGGCCCAGACUCCUACGGGAGGCAGCAGUGGGGAAUAUUGCACAAUGGGCGAAAGCCUGAUGCAGCAACGCCGCGUGAGGGAUGACGGCCUUCGGGUUGUAAACCUCUUUUAGUAGGGAAGAAGCGAAAGUGACGGUACCUGCAGAAAAAGCACCGGCUAACUACGUGCCAGCAGCCGCGGUAAUACGUAGGGUGCAAGCGUUGUCCGGAAUUAUUGGGCGUAAAGAGCUCGUAGGCGGUUUGUCGCGUCUGCUGUGAAAUCCCGAGGCUCAACCUCGGGCUUGCAGUGGGUACGGGCAGACUAGAGUGCGGUAGGGGAGAUUGGAAUUCCUGGUGUAGCGGUGGAAUGCGCAGAUAUCAGGAGGAACACCGAUGGCGAAGGCAGAUCUCUGGGCCGUAACUGACGCUGAGGAGCGAAAGCAUGGGGAGCGAACAGGAUUAGAUACCCUGGUAGUCCAUGCCGUA